Molecule: microRNA precursor, 109 nt
Filed under: Bigelowiella natans CCMP2755
Lineage: Eukaryota; Cercozoa; Chlorarachniophyceae
Description: miRNA EPrBNAG00000013129
Source: RNAcentral
UGAUGAUGAUGAUGAUGAUGAUGAUGAUGAUGAUGACAAUGAUGGCAUUGAUUAUGGUGUCUAUGCUCUUUCUUCUUUUUCAUUAUCAUCGUCAUCAUCAUCUAGACAG